GCUCCAAACACUCGAACUGCAUACAAGGGAAUGGUCCAAACACUCGAACUGCAUACAAGUGAAUGCUCCAAACUCUCGAACUGCAUACAAGUGAAUGCUCCAAACUCCCGAACGGCAUACAAGAGAAUAAGGUAGCACUCCAAAUACACGAACAGGAACCAUACGAAUUGCUGCUACCAGACGAAUAGAAAAAGCAUCCAAGCGGCUUACAC
Molecule: non-coding RNA, 212 nt
Organism: Pelobates cultripes (western spadefoot toad)
Lineage: Eukaryota; Metazoa; Chordata; Amphibia; Anura; Pelobatidae
Source: the annotation of a GenBank genome assembly